UCUGGAGAAAAGAUGGUUACUCUUCAAUGGCGAAAGCCGUGGAGAGAGGAAAGUCCAGGCAGCAGAAAGCAGGAGAGCCGUUGUAAGACGGCACCCGAGAGGGCUGGUAAGAGCAACAGAGACGAGUCUUGUUUGAGUCUAAAGCUUAAACAGGGGUGAAACGGGCAAUCCCCUCCGCUGCAACCUACGAAAGGGUCGUUUGAGGUAGCUUUCCCGAGACCCAAAGAUUAGGGCAUAGAUGGAUUACCAUCGUGAAACAGAACCUGGCUUAUUAUUCUCCAGAGUAC
This 287-nucleotide RNase P RNA is filed under the name Candidatus Woesebacteria bacterium. RNAcentral's name for it is "RNase P RNA component class A". It matches the Rfam family "Bacterial RNase P class A". From Rfam's summary of the family: Ribonuclease P (RNase P) is a ubiquitous endoribonuclease, found in archaea, bacteria and eukarya as well as chloroplasts and mitochondria. The record is from RNAcentral. Lineage: Bacteria; Candidatus Woeseibacteriota.